GAUGAACGCUGGCGGCGUGCCUAACACAUGCAAGUCGAGCGGCAGCGCGGGGUGCUUGCACUCUGUCGGCGGGCGGCGGACGGCUGAGUAACGCGUGGGUACGUGCCUCAAAGUGAGGAAGAAAUGCCGGAAAGGGAAGCUCAUACAGCAUACAUACUACGGAUCAGAGGAUUUAUCCGAUCUAGGAGCGGGGCGCGACGGAUUAAGUCGCUGGUGUGGUAAUGGCUCACCAAGGCGACGAUCCGUAGCUGGUCAGAGAGGCUGACCACCCAGUCUGGCACUGAGCCGCGGUGCAGAAUCCUGCGGGAUGCAGCAGUGCGUGAUCUAGCACAAUCGGCUAAAGCCUGAUGGAGCUACGCCGCUUGAAGGACGAAGUCCUUCGAGUUGUAAACUGCUUUUAUAAGUGGGUAAUAUGACGGUAACUUAUGAAUAAGGAUCGGCUAACUACGUG
RNAcentral lists this ribosomal RNA (451 nucleotides) under uncultured bacterium. RNAcentral describes it as "partial 16S ribosomal RNA". It matches the Rfam family "Bacterial small subunit ribosomal RNA", at positions 28 to 507 of the family's 1533-position model. The record is from RNAcentral.